Molecule: ribosomal RNA, 700 nt
Filed under: uncultured bacterium
Lineage: Bacteria
Description: bacterial SSU rRNA
Rfam family: Bacterial small subunit ribosomal RNA
Source: RNAcentral
AGUCGAACGGUAGCAUGGUCUAGCUUGCUAGACUGAUGACGAGUGGCGAACGGGUGAGUAACGCGUAGGAAUAUGCCUUGAAGUGGGGGACAACUUGGGGAAACUCAAGCUAAUACCGCAUAAUCUCUUCGGAGAAAAGCUAGGGACCUUCGGGCCUGGCGCUUCAAGAUUAGCCUGCGUACGAUUAGCUAGUUGGUAGGGUAAAGGCCUACCAAGGCGACGAUCGUUAGCUGGUCUGAGAGGAUGGCCAGCCACACUGGAACUGAGACACGGUCCAGACUCCUACGGGAGGCAGCAGUGGGGAAUAUUGGACAAUGGGGGCAACCCUGAUCCAGCAAUGCCGCGUGUGUGAAGAAGGCCUGAGGGUUGUAAAGCACUUUCAGUGGGGAGGAGGAAUGCUAGGUUAAGAGCUAGGUAUUUGGACGUUACCCACAGAAGAAGCACCGGCUAACUCCGUGCCAGCAGCCGCGGUAAUACGGAGGGUGCGAGCGUUAAUCGGAAUUACUGGGCGUAAAGGGUGCGUAGGUGGUUUAUUAAGUUAUCUGUGAAAUCCCUGGGCUCAACCUGGGCAGGUCAGAUAAGACUGGUAAACUCGAGUAUGGGAGAGGGUGGUGGAAUUUCCGGUGUAGCGGUGAAAUGCGUAGAGAUCGGAAGGAACACCAGUGGCGAAGGCGGCUACCUGGCCCAAUACUGACACUGA